GGGAUUGCCUUAGUAACGGCGAGUGAAGCGGCAACAGCUCAAAUUUGAAAUCUGGCCUCUUCGGCGCCCGAGUUGUAAUUUGCAGAGGAUGCUUCGGCGUCGGCUCUGGCCCAAGUUCCUUGGAACGGGACGUCGCAGAGGGUGAGAAUCCCGUGUUCGGGCGGAUGCCGUCGCCGUGUGAAGCUCCUUCGACGAGUCGAGUUGUUUGGGAAUGCAGCUCAAAACGGGAGGUAAAUUUCUUCCAAAGCUAAAUACCGGCCGGAGACCGAUAGUGCACAAGUAGAGUGAUCGARAGAUGAAAAGCACUUUGGMAAGAGAGUCVAACAGCGCGYGAAAUUGKUAAAAGGGAAGCGCKUGSGGUCAGAACUUGGCCGCCGUUGCUCGGGGKGKCCUCGCGCCCCCCUCBCUCUUYGKCGGCUGGGCCAGCWUCKGUUCGGGCGGSUSRAAARGRUCGCGGSAACGUGCAUCCCUCCGGGGAGUGUUAUAGCCCUCGCCCCAAUAGGGCCCGCCUGGACCGAGGUCUUCGCAUCUGAUCGGAUGAUGGCGUAAUGGCCCCAAUCGGCCCCUCUUGAAACAACACCCAAGGAGUAUUACAAUCUUUGGGGGGUUGGGGGGUCAACCCCCCCCGGCCAACAAAAAAAAAGGAAGGUGGGGGCCCCCCUCGGGUGCACCAUCGACCGAUCCUGAUGUUUUCGGAUGGAUUUGAGUAAGAGCAUAGAUGUUGGGACCCGAAAGAUGGUGAACUAUGCUUGAAAAGGGUGAAGCCAGAGGAAACUCUGGUGGAGGCUCGCAGCGGUUCUGACGUGCAAAUCGAUCGUCAAAUUGAGCUAUGGGGGCG
This 838-nucleotide ribosomal RNA is filed under the name Muyocopron cinnamomi. Its description in RNAcentral is "Muyocopron sp. DSM-2020a partial large subunit ribosomal RNA". Lineage: Eukaryota; Fungi; Ascomycota; Dothideomycetes; Muyocopronales; Muyocopronaceae. The record is from RNAcentral.